This 829-nucleotide ribosomal RNA is filed under the name uncultured organism. Its description in RNAcentral is "SSU rRNA". It matches the Rfam family "Bacterial small subunit ribosomal RNA", at positions 630 to 1473 of the family's 1533-position model. The record is from RNAcentral.
AUACUGGGUGUCUUGAGUACAGUAGAGGCAGGCGGAAUUCGUGGUGUAGCGGUGAAAUGCUUAGAUAUCACGAAGAACUCCGAUUGCGAAGGCAGCCUGCUGGACUGUAACUGACGCUGAUGCUCGAAAGUGUGGGUAUCAAACAGGAUUAGAUACCCCGGUAGUCCACACAGUAAACGAUGAAUACUCGCUGUUUGCGAUAUACAGUAAGCGGCCAAGCGAAAGCGUUAAGUAUCCCACCUGGGGAGUACGCCGGCAACGGUGAAACUCAAAGGAAUUGACGGGGGCCCGCACAAGCGGAGGAACAUGUGGUUUAAUUCGAUGAUACGCGAGGAACCUUACCCGGGCUUGAAUUGCAACUGAAUGAUGUGGAGACAUGUCAGCCGCAAGGCAGUUGUGAAGGUGCUGCAUGGUUGUCGUCAGCUCGUGCCGUGAGGUGUCGGCUUAAGUGCCAUAACGAGCGCAACCCUUAUCGAUAGUUACCAUCAGGUGAUGCUGGGGACUCUGUCGAGACUGCCGUCGUAAGAUGUGAGGAAGGUGGGGAUGACGUCAAAUCAGCACGGCCCUUACGUCCGGGGCUACACACGUGUUACAAUGGGGGGUACAGAAGGCAGCUACACGGCGACGUGAUGCUAAUCCCGAAAGCCUCUCUCAGUUCGGAUUGGAGUCUGCAACCCGACUCCAUGAAGCUGGAUUCGCUAGUAAUCGCGCAUCAGCCACGGCGCGGUGAAUACGUUCCCGGGCCUUGUACACACCGCCCGUCAAGCCAUGAAAGCCGGGGGUACCUGAAGUGCGUAACCGCAAGGAGCGCCCUAGGGUAAAACUGGUA